CAAUAGCGUAUAUUUAAGUUGUUGCAGUUAAAAAGCUCGUAGUUGGAUUUCGGGUAGGAUUUGCCGGUCCGUCUUUGAGAUGUGUACUGGUAAGUCCUAUCUUCUUGUCGGGGACCAGCUCCUGGGCUUCACUGUCCGGGACUGGGAGCCGACGAAGUUACUUUGAGUAAAUUAGAGUGUUCAAAGCAAGCCUACGCUCUGAAUAUAUUAGCAUGGAAUAACACGAUAGGACUCUGGCUUAUCUUGUUGGUCUGUGAGACCAGAGUAAUGAUUAAGAGGGACAGUCGGGGACAUUCGUAUUUCAUUGUCAGAGGUGAAAUUCUUAGAUUGCCGAAAGACAAACUGCUGCGAAAGCGUCUGCCAAGGAUGUUUUCAUUGA
RNAcentral lists this ribosomal RNA (379 nucleotides) under uncultured eukaryote. RNAcentral describes it as "partial 18S ribosomal RNA". It matches the Rfam family "Eukaryotic small subunit ribosomal RNA", at positions 592 to 976 of the family's 1831-position model. The record is from RNAcentral.